This 546-nucleotide ribosomal RNA is filed under the name Diplodia mutila. Its description in RNAcentral is "eukaryotic LSU rRNA". It matches the Rfam family "Eukaryotic large subunit ribosomal RNA", at positions 87 to 648 of the family's 3401-position model. The record is from RNAcentral. Lineage: Eukaryota; Fungi; Ascomycota; Dothideomycetes; Botryosphaeriales; Botryosphaeriaceae.
CGGCGAGUGAAGCGGCAACAGCUCAAAUUUGAAAGCUGGCCCUUUUAGGGUCCGCGUUGUAAUUUGUAGAGGAUGAUUCGGCGAGGGCUCCCGCCUAAGUCCCCUGGAACGGGGCGUCAUAGAGGGUGAGAAUCCCGUAUGUGGUGGGCUGCCUUAGCCAUGUGAAUCUCCUUCGACGAGUCGAGUUGUUUGGGAAUGCAGCUCUAAAUGGGAGGUAAAUUUCUUCUAAAGCUAAAUACCGGCCAGAGACCGAUAGCGCACAAGUAGAGUGAUCGAAAGAUGAAAAGCACUUUGGAAAGAGAGUUAAAAAGUACGUGAAAUUGUUGAAAGGGAAGCGCUUGCAACAAGACUUGUCCGCAGUUGCUCAGCCGGUCUCCUGACCGGCGUACUCUUCUGCGGCCAGGCCAGCAUCAGUUCGGGCGGUCGGAUAAAGACCUCGGGAAUGUAGCUCCUCUCGGGGAGUGUUAUAGCCCGGGGUGGAAUGCGGCCAGCCUGGACUGAGGAUCUCGCUUCGGCAAGGAUGCUGGCGUAAUGGUUGUAAGCGGC